AUGCGGGCUCUGCUCGAAACCCAUCUUCUUCAGCGUGGAGUCCAGCUUGGCGUUCCACGCCCUGGGUGCCUACCGCAGGCCAUAGAGAGCCUUGCGCAGGCGGAGCACCUUGCCCUCCUGGCCGGGAAUCGUAAACCUAGGUGGCUGAUGCACGUAGAGUUCCUCCUUCAAGUCGCCGUUGAGGAAUGCCGACUUAACGUCCAUGUGGUGGACACGCCAGCCCUCCUGGGCAGCCAACGCAAGGAGAAGUCGCACGGACUCCAUCCGUGCCACGGGAGCGAAAGCGUCGUCGAAGUCGACUCCUUCCUGCUGCAAGAAGCCUCGGGCCACCAAGCGAGCCUUGUGCUUGAUGAUGGCGCCGGCUCCAUCCCUCUUCAGCUUGAACACCCACUUAAGGGUGAUUGCGCGGUGACCUCGAGGGAGAUCAGCGAGCUCCCAGGUGCGGUUUUGCUCGACCGCAUCCAUCUCCAACUGCAUCACGGCGCGCCAUGCCGCGUCUCUCUCGGCCUCUGCAAAGGACCAUGGUUCGCCGUCUUCACACACGAGUUGUAG
RNAcentral lists this ribosomal RNA (552 nucleotides) under Triticum aestivum (bread wheat). RNAcentral describes it as "partial small subunit ribosomal RNA". Lineage: Eukaryota; Viridiplantae; Streptophyta; Magnoliopsida; Poales; Poaceae. The record is from RNAcentral.